CAUGGGCAGGUUGAAGGUGCGGUAACACGCACUGGAGGUCCGAACCGAUUAACGUUGAAAAGUUACCGGAUGAGUUGUGUUUAGGGGUGAAAGGCCAAUCAAGCCGGGAAAUAGCUGGUUCUCCGCGAAAACUAUUGAGGUAGUGCCUCGGAUGGACACCUUAUGGGGUAGAGCACUGGAUGGUUGCGGGGGUCGCGAGAUCUACCAAUACUAACCAAACUCCGAAUACAUAAGAGUGAUAUCCGGGAGACAGACGGCGGGUGCUAAGGUCCGUCGUCAAAAGGGAAACAGCCCUGACCUACAGCUAAGGUCCCCAAGUCACGUCUAAGUGGGAAAGCAUGUGGGAAUCCCAAAACAACCAGGAGGUUGGCUU
This 373-nucleotide unclassified non-coding RNA is filed under the name Hevea brasiliensis (rubber tree). It matches the Rfam family "Bacterial large subunit ribosomal RNA", at positions 735 to 1107 of the family's 2925-position model. Lineage: Eukaryota; Viridiplantae; Streptophyta; Magnoliopsida; Malpighiales; Euphorbiaceae. The record is from RNAcentral.